Triticum aestivum (bread wheat) is the source of this 146-nucleotide long non-coding RNA. RefSeq lists it as uncharacterized. The record is from RefSeq and is a predicted model, not a curated record. NCBI's taxonomy places the organism in Eukaryota, Viridiplantae, Streptophyta, Magnoliopsida, Poales, Poaceae. The transcript is spliced from 3 exons.
CUUCCGAUCUAAAAAAAGAAAACAUGUUGAUUAUAGAAAAAUUAGGAGGAAUCUAGAAUUAGAGUCUUAUGGGGAAGGACACUAUUGCUGAUUUACUAACCUCUAUAAGAAAUGCGGACAUGAAUAAAAAAGGAACAGUUCAAGUA